UUGAGUUUGUUUUAGAGGACCAAAUUGGGUCAGCACAGUUAGAGGAUGAGGAAGUAAGGCAAAUCAAAAGGAAGAUUUCAUGGAAGGAUGAAGGGUCUAAGCAAUUCCGACAUAAUGAGAAUGGGAGAGUGUACUAUGGAACCCGACUUGUCGUACCAUCCGACCCCAAUCUCAAGAAACAAAUCUUAGAUGAAGCUCAUCUCUCCAAAUUCUC
RNAcentral lists this long non-coding RNA (214 nucleotides) under Setaria viridis. RNAcentral describes it as "long non-coding RNA (SVIR_LNC003262)". Lineage: Eukaryota; Viridiplantae; Streptophyta; Magnoliopsida; Poales; Poaceae. The record is from RNAcentral.